GGCCCUGGGGUGUUAUCACGUGGGAUUGCAAACCCCAAGAAGCAGAAUGAACCCUGCCGGGGCUUC
This 66-nucleotide transfer RNA is filed under the name Hoplobatrachus tigerinus (Indus valley bullfrog). RNAcentral's name for it is "tRNA-Cys". The record is from RNAcentral. Lineage: Eukaryota; Metazoa; Chordata; Amphibia; Anura; Dicroglossidae.